UUCUUAUGAAGUAAUCAUAAGUAAAAUCUGCUCAAUGUGUAUAAAUAGCCGCAGAUUAUCUGUGCUAAGGUAGCAUAAUCACUUGUUUCCUAAUUAGAAAAUAGAAUGAAAGAUUAAACAUUUAAUUUACUAUACCCUUUAAUAAAUCUAAACUAUACUAAGACAUUAAAAUAUUCUUAUUAAAAAGUAAGACGACAAGACCCUAUUGAACUUUACAUAUUUGUUUAGCUGGGGCAGCUAAAUAAAACAUCAUUUUCAUUACUAUUUAUAAUUAAAAAUCCAAUAAUAUUGAAUAAUUAAGUUACCUUAGGGAUAACAGCGUAAUAAUCUACAAUAGCUCAUAUUUAAUAGAAUUGAUUACGACCUCGAUGUUGAAUUACUUGGCUUCGGUGCGCAACCGCACCGAAAGCAAGUCUGUUCGACUUUUAAAAAAGUACAU
This 439-nucleotide ribosomal RNA is filed under the name Synotaxus sp. CR. RNAcentral's name for it is "partial 16S large subunit ribosomal RNA". It matches the Rfam family "Archaeal large subunit ribosomal RNA", at positions 1922 to 2670 of the family's 2987-position model. Lineage: Eukaryota; Metazoa; Arthropoda; Arachnida; Araneae; Synotaxidae. The record is from RNAcentral.